GAUGAACGCUGGCGGCGUGCCUAAUACAUGCAAGUCGAGCGAACAGACGAGGAGCUUGCUCCUCUGACGUUAGCGGCGGACGGGUGAGUAACACGUGGAUAACCUACCUAUAAGACUGGGAUAACUUCGGGAAACCGGAGCUAAUACCGGAUAACAUGUUGAACCGCAUGGUUCAACAGUGAAAGACGAUCUUGCUGUCACUUAUAGAUGGAUCCGCGCCGCGUUAGCUAGUUGGUAAGGUAACGGCUUACCAAGGCAACGAUGCGUAGCCGACCUGAGAGGGUGAUCGGCCACGCUGGAACUGAGACGCGGUCCAGACGCCUACGGGAGGCAGCAGUAGGGAAUCUUCCGCAAUGGGCGAAAGCCUGACGGAGCAACGCCGCGUGAGUGAAGAAGGUCUUCGGAUCGUAAAACUCUGUUAUUAGGGAAGAACAAAUGUGUAAGUAACUAUGCACGUCUUGACGGUACCGAAUCAGAAAGCCACGGCUAACUACGU
Molecule: ribosomal RNA, 496 nt
Filed under: uncultured bacterium
Lineage: Bacteria
Description: partial 16S ribosomal RNA
Rfam family: Bacterial small subunit ribosomal RNA
Source: RNAcentral